GCUAGGGUAUAACAUUGUCCUUGUGUGUGUAAUACAGCACCCUGUUUAUAGGUGUGCUAGGGUAUAACAUUGUCCUUGUGUGUGUAAUACAGCACCCUGUUUAUAGGUGUGCUAGGGUAUAACAUUGUCCUUGUGUGUGUAAUACAGCACCCUGUUUAUAGGUGUGCUAGGGUAUAACAUUGUCCUUGUGUGUGUGUAAUACAGCACCCUGUUUAUAGGUGUGCUAGGGUAUAACAUUGUCCUUGUGUGUGUAAUACAGCACCCUGUUUAUAGGUGUCCUUAUUGGUGUCUUCACAGACAGAAAUCAUUAAAAAAAUAAUGUUUUC
Long non-coding RNA from Haliotis rubra (blacklip abalone), 326 nucleotides. RefSeq lists it as uncharacterized. NCBI's taxonomy places the organism in Eukaryota, Metazoa, Mollusca, Gastropoda, Lepetellida, Haliotidae. The record is from RefSeq and is a predicted model, not a curated record. The transcript has 3 exons.